UAGGGAAUCUUCGGCAAUGGGGGCAACCCUGACCGAGCAACGCCGCGUGAGUGAAGAAGGUUUUCAGAUCGUAAAGCUCUGUUGUAAGAGAAGAACGUGUGUGAGAGUGGAAAGUUCACACAGUGACGGUAACUUACCAGAAAGGGACGGCUAACUACGUGCCAGCAGCCGCGGUAAUACGUAGGUCCCGAGCGUUGUCCGGAUUUAUUGGGCGUAAAGCGAGCGCAGGCGGUUUAAUAAGUCUGAAGUUAAAGGCAGUGGCUUAACCAUUGUUCGCUUUGGAAACUGUUAAACUUGAGUGCAGAAGGGGAGAGUGGAAUUCCAUGUGUAGCGGUGAAAUGCGUAGAUAUAUGGAGGAACACCGGUGGCGAAAGCGGCUCUCUGGUCUGUAACUGACGCUGAGGCUCGAAAGCGUGGGGAGCAAACAGG
RNAcentral lists this ribosomal RNA (429 nucleotides) under bacterium. RNAcentral's name for it is "partial 16S ribosomal RNA". It matches the Rfam family "Bacterial small subunit ribosomal RNA", at positions 355 to 776 of the family's 1533-position model. The record is from RNAcentral.